AUUGAACGCUGGCGGCGUGCCUUACACAUGCGAGUCGAACGGCAGCACGGGAGCAAUCCUGGUGGCGAGUGGCGAACGGGUGAGUAAAGUAUCGGAACGUGCCCAGUCGUGGGGGAUAACGUAGCGAAAGUUACGCUAAUACCGCAUACGAUCUAUGGAUGAAAGCGGGGGAUCGCAAGACCUCGCGCGAUUGGAGCGGCCGAUAUCAGAUUAGGUAGUUGGUGGGGUAAAGGCUCACCAAGCCGACGAUCUGUAGCUGGUCUGAGAGGACGACCAGCCACACUGGGACUGAGACACGGCCCAGACUCCUACGGGAGGCAGCAGUGGGGAAUUUUGGACAAUGGGCGAAAGCCUGAUCCAGCCAUGCCGCGUGCAGGAUGAAGGCCUUCGGGUUGUAAACUGCUUUUGUACGGAACGAAAAGGUUUGGCCUAAUAAGCUGAGCUCAUGACGGUACCGUAAGAAUAAGCACCGGCUAACUACGUGCCAGCAGCCGCCGUAA
This 500-nucleotide ribosomal RNA is filed under the name uncultured bacterium. RNAcentral describes it as "partial 16S ribosomal RNA". It matches the Rfam family "Bacterial small subunit ribosomal RNA", at positions 30 to 523 of the family's 1533-position model. The record is from RNAcentral.